UAUUUAAUACAUUUUGUUUACAGUCUAAACCUCAAAAAUGUUUCAGUUUCUCUUCUCAACCUAGAUUCACUUCUUCUUCCUCACCCAUAAUUUUUCCUUCACCCGAUUCACUUCUUCUUUUUUUCGUUUCUCCCUCUUUCUCUCUUCUAAUUCAAGGAUUAUGUUCCUCAUAUCCACCACAACCACUCAACUAUGGACUACGAAUCAUAUCGACGUCGCCGUAACCGCUAUCCCCAAAACAGAGAAGAAUCCGAUGGUUAUGGGGCUAAUGUUCAAACCCUCUCCACAGGAGUCUCAAAGAACCUUAUGAAACAUACUCUUCAAUGCCAAGUGAUGACAAAGACCUUUUGUUUAAACAGUUUGCGCAAGAUUUUAAUCUGGGAGCCACAAAUGAAAUCUAGAUGUCCAUCAAGAGUUUGACAGAGAGGCGGCGACUCAAUAUUCCAACACGUUAAGUGAGUGGAAGAAGAAGUGGAAACGCGGAGAAACUCCAAAGGGAAUAAACGACAAGGUGUACGAAGGGGUUGCAAGAGUAUUGGGCACAUCCCAAGACAAAGGAAACAUCUACCCAGAAAUCUAAGAAUCGGAAUAUCAAUCGAGGUGGCAAAGGGCUAGCAAUGCACAACGCAGGGUCAACAAGCUUCUAUACCUGUGGACUACAACUUACCAAACGAGAUGGUGUGGCUCCUGAUCACUUAACGUUGAUGGUAGACACCACACCAACAAAAAGACCAAGCAAAUUCAAGACCCUUUAGCUAAGGAAGUGAUUGGCAAUUCUCGUAAGAGGAUGGAGGAGUUUAGCUUAUCUCAACCUUCAGUCGAUGGAAAUGGCUUACCAACACCAAUCCCCGUCGACAUGAUUAACCAAUUCGUUCUUGAGGAAACUCCAUAAACCAAGGGUCGAAUCUUUGGAUUAGGAAAAGUUUCAAAAAUACUUUGUACUUGUUUAUCAUCUUCAUUACCAAUAUAUGGUCGUGAUCCUAAACUUGUGCGAGCCCUCCAUGAGAAAGAUGACCGUAUCGAAGCUUUUAAGAAGAUGAUGGAAAAAAGAGAAUGAGCGGAACAAGCUGAGAGAUGAGGAGCUUGCGUCUUUCAUGGCAGAGAUGCGAUCAAAGUUCCUUGUGAAUUCAAUUUCUUAGAGAUAUAUGACUACAAUAUUUAAGAUUUAUUGACCAUUUUCUUUUUCUUUUUGAUUUGUGUAUAUUGCAUUUUCUUUUUGGGAUUGUAACGCUCGUUCCCGAAAAAAUAUGAAUAUUAGAUUUUUAUAUUGGGAAUUGAAGUGGAUUUGGUUU
Long non-coding RNA from Camelina sativa (false flax), 1292 nucleotides. RefSeq lists it as uncharacterized. The record is from RefSeq and is a predicted model, not a curated record. Lineage: Eukaryota; Viridiplantae; Streptophyta; Magnoliopsida; Brassicales; Brassicaceae.